RNAcentral lists this ribosomal RNA (190 nucleotides) under uncultured bacterium. RNAcentral describes it as "partial 16S ribosomal RNA". It matches the Rfam family "Bacterial small subunit ribosomal RNA", at positions 338 to 525 of the family's 1533-position model. The record is from RNAcentral.
CCUACGGGAGGCAGCAGUGGGGAAUCUUGGACAAUGGGCGAAAGCCUGAUCCAGCGACGCCGCGUGGAGGAAGAAGUCCUUCGGGAUGUAAACUUCUGAACUAGCCGAAUAAAAGGCCUGUGGACACACAGGAGAAGAAAGUAGGCUAGGAAAAGUCCCGGCUAACUACGUGCCAGCAGCCGCGGUAAUA